This is a long non-coding RNA of Oncorhynchus keta (chum salmon), 963 nucleotides long. RefSeq lists it as uncharacterized. Lineage: Eukaryota; Metazoa; Chordata; Actinopteri; Salmoniformes; Salmonidae. The transcript is spliced from 3 exons. The record is from RefSeq and is a predicted model, not a curated record.
CACAGGUAGGUAAUGGUCAAACACAGGUAGGUAAUGGUCAAACACAGGUAGGUAAUGGUCAAACACAGGUAGGUAAUGGUCAAACACAGGUAGGUAAUGGUCAAACACAGGUAGGUAAUGGUCAAACACAGGUAGGUAAAGGUCAAACACAGGUAGGUAAAGGUCAAACACAGGUAGGUAAAGGUCAAACACAGGUAGGUAAAGGUCAAACACAGGUAGGUAAAGGUCAAACACAGGUAGGUAAUGGUCAAACACAGGUAGGUAAAGGUCAAACACAGGUAGGUAAUGGUCAAACACAGGUAGGUAAUGGUCAAACACAGGUAGGUAAUGGUCAAACACAGGUAGGUAAUGGUCAAACACAGGUAGGUAAUGGUCAAACACAGGUAGGUAAAGGUCAAACACAGGUAGGUAAAGGUCAAACACAGGUAGGUAAUGGUCAAACACAGGUAGGUAAUGGUCAAACACAGGUAGGUAAUGGUCAAACACAGGUAGGUAAUGGUCAAACACAGGUAGGUAAUGGUCAAACACAGGUAGGUAAUGGUCAAACACAGGUAGGUAAUGGUCAAACACAGGUAGGUAAUGGUCAAACACAGGUAGGUAAUGGUCAAACACAGGUAGGUAAUGGUCAAACACAGGUAGGUAAAGGUCAAACACAGGUAGGUAAUGGUCAAACACAGGUAGGUAAUGGUCAAACACAGGUAGGCAUACAGGCAGGUGAAUCAAAACUCCCUCAGAUAAACAAACAAGCAGGCAUAAACAAGCAGGCAUAAACAAGCAGGCGUAAACAAGCAGGCGUAAACAAGCAGGCAUAAACAAGCAGGCGUAUAAACAAGCAGGCGUAUAAACAAGCAGGCAGGCAUAAACAAGCAGGCGUAUAAACAAGCAGGCAUAAACAAGCAGGCGUAUAAACAAGCAGGCAUAAACAAGCAGGCAUAAACAAGCAGGCAUAAACAAGCAGGCGUA